Molecule: ribosomal RNA, 346 nt
Filed under: uncultured Anaerovibrio sp.
Lineage: Bacteria; Bacillati; Bacillota; Negativicutes; Selenomonadales; Selenomonadaceae
Description: bacterial SSU rRNA
Rfam family: Bacterial small subunit ribosomal RNA
Source: RNAcentral
AGAGUUUGAUCAUGGCUACGAGGACGAACGCUGGCGGCGUGCUUAACACAUGCAAGUCGAACGGGGCGAAGAGGAGCUUGCUCUUCCUAGCCUAGUGGCAAACGGGUGAGUAACGCGUAGGCAACCUGCCCUUCAGAUGGGGACAACAUUUCGAAAGGAAUGCUAAUACCGAAUGACGUACAUUGGUCGCAUGACCGAUGUACCAAAGGCCGGGCAACCGGUCACUGAAGGAUGGGCCUGCGUCUGAUUAGCUAGUUGGUGGGGUAACGGCCCACCAAGGCGACGAUCAGUAGCCGGUCUGAGAGGAUGAACGGCCACAUUGGGACUGAGACACGGCCCAAACUCC